CCUACGGGGGGCAGCAGUGAGGAAUAUUGGUCAAUGGACGCAAGUCUGAACCAGCCAUGCCGCGUGCAGGAAGACGGCCCUAUGAGUUGUAAACAGCUUUUGUACGAGGGAAAACGAAGAUACGCGUAUCUGUCUGAAAGUAUCGUACGAAUAAGGAACGGAUAAACCCGUGCCAGCAGCAGCGGUAAUACGGAGGAGUCAAGCGUUAUCCGGAUUUAUUGGGUGUAAAGGGUGCGUAGGCGGUCGGAUAAGUUAGAGGUGAAAUCCCGAGGCUCAACUUCGGAAUUGCCUCUGAUACUGUUCGGCUAGAGAGUAGUAGCGGUAGGCGGAAUGUAAGGUGUAGCGGUGAAAUGCUUAGAGAUCAUACAGAACACCGAUUGCGAAGGCAGCUUACCAAGCUACUUCUGACGUUGAGGCACGAAAGCGUGGGGAGCAAACAGGAUUAGAUACCCUAGUAGUC
This 460-nucleotide ribosomal RNA is filed under the name uncultured bacterium. RNAcentral describes it as "partial 16S ribosomal RNA". It matches the Rfam family "Bacterial small subunit ribosomal RNA", at positions 338 to 795 of the family's 1533-position model. The record is from RNAcentral.